CGGAGCGGAUUUUUGAAAAUCGAACGCUGCGUUCGCUUAUCGAACAGCGGAGCGGAAUGGAGUCUGAUCGAACAGCCGGACUGACUCGGUAUUGAACCGGGCCGCGGAGGAGCGCAGCGAUCGACCGGCGAUAUCUACGCUUUGAUGUGCUGGAGAUCUAAACCCGGAGGCGUGCUGAUGGCGCCUCUACAGGCCGACACGAGAACUGCAGGCCGACAUAUUUAAGAGUAAAUUCUGGUUUGGGACCCGGUGGAUCCGGAGUCUAUCCCAGGAACACUGUGUCUGAGGCAGAAAUCAAUCCUGGAGAGGUCUCAAGAUUAAUUCACAAACUUACUCACAUCUAGGGACAUUUUAGCCAAGCUAUUCCACCUACUGACAUUUUAGAUCAGCUCAGAAAAACCCAAACAAGGAAAACUCAUCCUGUGUAGUAACCUGAGCUCAGGAUAGAACCCUGUGUGUUUUGGAAGAAUUCUGAAAUACAAUGCGUUCUUAAAGCGUAUGAAAUAAAAGAUGUGCCUCGUAAUGUCAGCAACUGAAUGGGGGGGGGGGUAUUUUGCAUAUUAAUUAAAAAUUAGGAUAAUUUUAUACACAAUAUCUGAACAUCUGUUACGAUGAAGCUCAUACUGUGUACGGAAUAAACAAGACACAGGAUUUAAAGUGAGAAAUUGACAAUUUUUUAGACAUUUUAAUCCAAAUUCAUUUUAUUACCCCAAAUUGGAUAUCUAAUAAACUCAAUAUAAUGAAUAGCAAAAACAAACGAUGUAGCAAAACCACAAAUCUGAUAAUACUGUCAUAAAGUGGCAAUAAAGUAUAAAUCACAGUUUUUUAAAUAUAACAAAUCUGUAAAUGUGCUUCCCAUGUACAUUCAUAUUACAUUAUAUGCACAAAAGUUGGUGGACACCUGACCAUUAGAUUUGAAGAGAGCAUUUUGAAUUUUGAACAUUUGACCACUUGCUCUUAUAAUAGCUUCCACUUUUCUGUUCCACUAAAUUUUAGAGUGUUCUUGUGGAAAAUUAUGGAGAUUCAUUCAGCUACAAGGAUGUUUAUAGAGAAGUACUGAUGAAG
Molecule: long non-coding RNA, 1065 nt
Organism: Silurus meridionalis
Lineage: Eukaryota; Metazoa; Chordata; Actinopteri; Siluriformes; Siluridae
Exons: 3
Source: RefSeq, a predicted model, not a curated record